GAAAACGGACAAACCAUGAGUCUGAUUCUGAUGGCCAAAAUGAGUCGGGCUGUCAAUUCUCAAUUCUCAUCGUCAAAAUGUGGUCAAAAUAAAGACGACCACAACAUUUGUUAUUCAGAAUUUUAAAGUUUUGGUUUUUCUCGACCCAAUCCUCCACCAUUCACAGUUGCUCCGCAUACUUUCUUAUAGUCACGUGAUUAAAUGGAAUGAAACAUGGAAAGAUGGCGGAAUUCCAGUGGAAUAGUAAUUCAUAGAGAUGCCUUAGUAAGGUUUUAUUUUCAUUCCUUUUGAACUUUUUAAAUCAUUCAGUCAUGCAGAAGAACGUGAAAACAAAGAACGUGUUCCUAUCUGGUGCUUUACAAAGAAUUCUUCUCGAUAAAGAAACAAAAAAGUCUCAUCAUUCACAACUAAAGAAAGCUUGCGAAACGGCUUUAGAGGAAAUAAACGCUGUUCAAGGAAAUGAAAAAUCUACAGGGAAUGUUUCUUCUGCAACUCUACCUCCACUACCUGGUCAGCAAACAUUCACAGCAGA
Long non-coding RNA from Xenia sp. Carnegie-2017, 532 nucleotides. RefSeq lists it as uncharacterized. The transcript is spliced from 3 exons. NCBI's taxonomy places the organism in Eukaryota, Metazoa, Cnidaria, Anthozoa, Malacalcyonacea, Xeniidae. The record is from RefSeq and is a predicted model, not a curated record.